UCAAGAGAUUGUAAUCCUGGUCAGUUUUUUGCGGCCGUGAUUUUGCACCUGGAAUCACCUCCUGAGAUUGAUGAGCUGCUCAGCUGAGAUUGUAAUCCUGGUCAGUUUUAUCAAUAAUACACUCUCUUUUCGCGCAAAGAGAAAAAUAAAUAAUCGAAAUUUCGGUGCCCACAAAAAUUCUUGGUGCCUUCCCAAAGUGCAAACACUGAUCCACAAGGACACUACCGUCGCCACAGUGCAUUGUUGUGUACUCCUGCUUCGUGGCUUUAACUACCUCAUUUUGUUCAUCCAUGUGUAUAAGCAUAUGCUAGCCAGCUCUGGGUAGUUGCCUAAUACUCUAUUUGUUAUUUCCAUGGUUGCUCAGUUGUUUAAAAUUUCAAAUGGAAGAGAUAUACCACCAUGAACGAAUGCAUCAGAUGCGACCGUGCCAGGCUUUCUGCCUCAACAAACAACAGUUAACAGUUGAGACAGGACCAGUGUCUCCACUGCAAGAAGACAAGACAUUCCAAGAAAGAUCAUCCUGACUUCCUGAUAGUGAUCAUGGCAAAGAAAGGGAUUCCGUUCAGUGAGGACUACGCAAAAGAAGUGAAAGAUCCAUUAGAGUUGCCAAUGGAGUUGAAGCAAAAGUUGAAGCUGUUGGAGAUCUUCGCCUAGAGCUCGUGAAUGGCUUCACACUUUUACUUCCAGAUGUUUUUAUGUCCCUUCUUUGCAAAGAAAUAAGUGUAUCCAAAUUGGAUUUUGAUAUAUAUGAUUGCCAUUUUGGAAAUGGCAAAUGUGAACUAUGGUAUAAUAAUGCAUGUAUUGGUCUUGUGUUGCAAGAUCAGCUUUAUUUGUUA
Oryza sativa Japonica Group (Japanese rice) is the source of this 836-nucleotide non-coding RNA. The record is from RefSeq and is a predicted model, not a curated record. NCBI's taxonomy places the organism in Eukaryota, Viridiplantae, Streptophyta, Magnoliopsida, Poales, Poaceae.